GGGUCAGUAGGUUGGUCGUGCCACCGGUACGUACUGGUCUCACUGAUUCCUCCUUCCUGAAGAACCGUAAUGCCAUUAAUCCGGUGUUGCGGGGAAACAGGACUGUUACUUUGAAAAAAUUAGAGUGUUUAAAGCAAGCUAACGCUUGAAUACAUUAGCAUGGAAUAAUGAAAUAGGACGAUCGAUCCUAUUUUGUUGGUUUCUAGGAUUGACGUA
RNAcentral lists this ribosomal RNA (216 nucleotides) under Glomeromycotina sp. RNAcentral describes it as "partial small subunit ribosomal RNA". The stretch from base 87 to 216 matches the Rfam family "Eukaryotic small subunit ribosomal RNA", at positions 733 to 864 of the family's 1831-position model. Lineage: Eukaryota; Fungi; Glomeromycota. The record is from RNAcentral.